AAAGUCGUAACAAGGUCUCCGUAGGUGAACCUGCGGAGGGAUCAUUAACACGUAUCCACACGUUUCUUAACAAACCCAAACUGCGCUCCUUUAUUCCCGUAGAGGGUCGGUGACUAGCAAGCCACAGGUGGAUUGAGUGGUGUUUUGGGGGAGACCUCACAGCACUCUCUACUUGCAGUCUAUUGGCGCCUUGAGGCCGGCCGAUUCUCUAUGGCGUAUUUCAAGCCACUUGGUUACAUGUGCCAAACCGGUUUCGACCCGGAGCCUUGUAGCCUUAUUAUUCCUCUUUUUUUAAACCCCUUUUUUAUAUCAACAACUGAUGUUUACUUUCUGCGUGUGUACCCUUUGGGUGCAUAUCAAAGAAAUAUACGAAAAUAUGAACAACUCUUAGCAAUGGAUAUCUUGGUUCUC
This 411-nucleotide unclassified non-coding RNA is filed under the name Basidiomycota sp. Its description in RNAcentral is "partial contains small subunit ribosomal RNA, internal transcribed spacer 1, and 5.8S ribosomal RNA". The stretch from base 1 to 47 matches the Rfam family "Eukaryotic small subunit ribosomal RNA", at positions 1785 to 1831 of the family's 1831-position model. The record is from RNAcentral. Lineage: Eukaryota; Fungi; Basidiomycota.